This is a long non-coding RNA of Rosa rugosa (rugosa rose), 2333 nucleotides long. RefSeq lists it as uncharacterized. The record is from RefSeq and is a predicted model, not a curated record. NCBI's taxonomy places the organism in Eukaryota, Viridiplantae, Streptophyta, Magnoliopsida, Rosales, Rosaceae. The transcript is spliced from 2 exons.
UUCCAAUGAUAAACCUAAAACUUGGUAGGUGUGGUAUGAAUAUCAGAUCACAGAUCUGAAAGUGCCAUGCAUAUGAAUUGUAGGUAAACACCUAACAAUAACAAACACUGGUCUGACUUGCAGUUGCUCUAUUAUUUUCAAGAUGAGGGGAACACGUUUCCCUCGGCAAUUGGCGACCCGGUUAUAUCACCAUCCCUAGCUUAUAUCUUUUCGCCACGUAUUGCCGCCCCAAAAGAGAAGGAAUACGUACUCUCAAGCCUAUAAAUCAAAGCUACAGGAUAACCCUCUAUAUAUACAUUUCAGAGUUGAUCGCAGCAAAAUCUAAACUAAUCAGAAUCAUUUGUGAUAUUGUAAAAUGCCAGACCAUCCACCACCACCACACGGCCACGGUCACCCGCCACCUCCAGGUCCGGGGCACCACGAGCCUCCUCCUCCGGGGCCUCAUGCACCCCCUCCGCCGGGACCUCAUCCACCUCCUCCGGGACCCCAUCCACCCCCUCCGGGACCCCAUGCCCCUCCUCCCGGCGGCCCUCCUCAUGAUCCACACAAGCCACAUGACCCGCACCACGGUCACCACCACCCAUGAACCUAACUACCCAUGAGGCCAUGAAGCUAGUCAGCUAGCUGUGAUCUAUAUAUCUAUGUGUUUGUAAUGUGAUGUAGCUAGCUUGUAGUUCUAAGUUGCUGGGUUUACUGGCUCUGCUCCUUCGAUCUCAUCUGUCGGGCACUGAUUAUAUUCAUGUAAUGACUACGAUAUGAUGACUAUGUACCCAAAAGAAGGCUGAUCAUUUAUGUAAAAUAAGAAGAGUACUAGCUUUAAUUUGUGGUUUAUGUAUCAUCAUGAGCUUUGUGUAAAUCUUCUUCUAUUAUUCUUCCACGAUGGUUAAAAAGUGAUGGUUAAAAUUCCCCAUUAGAAAUCAGAAAAUUGUCAGUUAAUAACCAAUGUCCCCAAUUUUAUCAAAUUUUUAUUACGAUUUCAUAAAGAAAAAGAGAGCAAGAUUAAAGUAGGCUCUAAGUAUGCCCUAUUCUGUAAAAUUUCAACAGAUUGAUCUCCUAGAUGCAUUUGUGAGCUUCUGUUUGUAACUUCUCUUCUGUCAAAUCCUCCUUAUCCUCCAUAUACGAACUCAUGGCUCCCACCUUGACGAAGACGAGCAUUAAUUCUGGCAUUGCCGCACUAACAAAACUCACGUACUUUGUUCUUAUCCCCUUUUCCUUUCCGAUAGUAACUCAGCAAGAGUUCAAUUAUUCACAAUUGCAGCAACUAGUUUCUGUAAUCCAGCAAAGUUAAAGUUGCUCUGGCCCAAAAAAGAAAAAAGAGAAAGUUGGAGUUCCAUACUGCCCUAGUGCCCUGGUUUACACACUGUUAUUGAUCUUGUGGUUCUUAUAAUGCAUGAAGCAUCACCACACAAAAAUUCAGAAGACAAAAACAAAACAAGUACUGUGCCUGAUAUGUACACAUGCUUGCUUUCAUUGUUUAUAUUAAAUUAAUAUCCUGAGCUACCAUUCUGCCAAAAUAAGCUAACUAAGUUUAUCCUUAUAUGGAUAUUAUGUGAAUUGGAAUUAAUUUUAUAUUUGAUUCUUUUAUAUUAUGUGGCACCAAUUACGACGAAGCAUGUGCCAUUCUGAAGAUAAUGUCUACAUUUCUUAAUUUAGAGCCCUUUACCGACACACCAUUUCCUAUAAAAUCUUCUCCUACCUAGCUUAACUCUUCAACAGUUCGCCACAUCAAGAACAAGUCUCUUCAAGUCUUUAACAAGUCAGUCUCAGCAAGAAUUCGAAGAUGCAUCACGGUGACCAUCACGGCGGACCCCCACACCACGGAGGAGGUCCGGGAGGUCCGGGAGGUCCGCCUCACGGAGGUCCACCCGGAGGAGGACCGCCUCAUGGAGGUCCACCCGGAGGCGGCCCUCACCAUGAUCAGGGUCAUGGCGGCCCAGGUCAUCAAGGAGGACCAGGAGGAGGAGGCCACGGAGGACCAGGCGGAGGAGGCCACGGAGGACCAGGCGGUCAUGGUGGACCGGGUGAUCACGGCCAUGGAGGAGGAGGACAAGGCGGUCAUGGCGGACCGGGCGGCCAUGGAGGAGGACAUGGUGGUCGCUGAUCAUGGAGCUAGACUACGUACUACUAAUGGUGUACUAGCUAGGUGAAUAAGUCGAUCUCUGUGUGACUUUGUGGUAUCGAUUGUUUGUGUUAUCAUUUUCCUAGUUGGGUCGAUGAGAUCGUAGCUAUUGGAGCUAGGGGAGUCGACCUUCUGUUUUAAGUCUCUAAUUGUGCAUGGAUGUGUAAUAAAAAAACCCUACUAGUUAUGGAUUUGAUUUGUCUCUUAGGCUCAA